GGAAUGAUGGGAAUCUAAACCCUUCCCAGAGUAUCAAUUGGAGGGCAAGUCUGGUGCCAGCAGCCGCGGUAAUUCCAGCUCCAAUAGCGUAUAUUAAAGUUGUUGCAGUUAAGAAGCUCGUAGUUGAAUUUCUGCCUUGUCAUUAAUCUCGCUUUCGAGCGUUAUUUUAUUGACUUGGCAUCUUCUGGAUUUGGUAUCCUUAAUUGGUUACUAUCUUCCAGUAUUUACUUUGAGAAAACUAGAGUGUUUCAAACAGGCCAUUUGCCUUGAAUACUACAGCAUGGAAUAAUGAAGUAGGACUUUGGUUCUAUUUUGUUGGUUAUUGAGCCAGAGUAAUGGUUAAUAGGAGCAGUUGGGGGCAUUCGUAUUUAACUGUCAGAGGUGAAAUUCUUAGAUUUGUUAAAGACGAACUACUGCGAAAGCAUUUGCCAAGGAUGUUUUCAUUAAUCAAGAACGAAAGUUAGGGGAUCGAAGACGAUCAGAUACCGUCGUAGUCCUAACCAUAAACUAUGCCGACUAGAGAUUGGAGGUCGUCAGUUUAAACGACUCCUUCAGCACCU
Molecule: ribosomal RNA, 560 nt
Filed under: Babesia microti
Lineage: Eukaryota; Apicomplexa; Aconoidasida; Piroplasmida; Babesiidae
Description: SSU rRNA
Rfam family: Eukaryotic small subunit ribosomal RNA
Source: RNAcentral